GAGUUUUUAGACUGAUUUAUUUGAUAAAUUGAUGGGUGAUUUCUGUGACAGUGUGCAGUGAGCUGAGGUCCCAGUUCUUAGACAGAAAGUUAAACACAAAGAAGGAAUGAUGUCCAGAAGAAUAUGUUGAUUGCACAUAUUGCACUACUUCCUGGAACAGCGCUAAAAUGACAUCAAAGGAAUUAAAAGAGAAAGAGAAGGCAGGACUGGAGAGGAUUCCUUUCUGGGGAAACCAACCAGCUCAAGAGAACACUGGGAUCUAGGAGUUCUAUACAAAGACAGGACCCUGAACAUCCCUGGUGGUGCACUGGAUAAGAAUCUGCGUGCCAGUGCAGGGGACACAUGUUCGAUCCCUGGUCCAGGAAGAUCCUACAUGCUGCAGAGCAACUAAGCCCAUGUGCCACAACUACUGAGACCUCGCUCUGGAGCUCACGAGCUGCAGCUAAUGAAGCCCGUGCACCUAGAACGUGUGCUCCGCAACAAGAGAAGCCACCUCAGUGAGAAGCCCUUGCACCAAAACGAAGAGUUGCCCCUACUUGCUGCAACCAGAGAAAGCCCACUUGCAGCUACAAAGGCCCAGAGCAGCGAAAAACAACUAACUAAUUAAUUAAAGAAAAAGACAGGGCCCUCACCUGACCACCCUAAAGUGAGACCCUCUCCUCAACAAGCCCAGCCUUCACAGUUUCCGAUUAGCUUGCGGUGCCUCUCUGUUUAACUGAAUGGACAUCCAGGGAUCACUCUCCAUUUGGAAAAAACCUUUCAUGCAAAAGACAGAAACCAGAAGAAAUGGGGAAAGAAACAUUAAGAAAAACGGUGUCACUGAAAAAAACCUAAGGAAAACCUUAAAAACAAACACACGCACAAAAAACACUGGAGUUAUUUCCUGAGAAAACAAGGAAAAUUCCACAUUUAUGAAAUGUGAAGAGUUUGUUGUUAAAAUGUCACAUUUAGGGAAUAAGAUGGAGCUUCUGGAAAUUAGAGGAACAGAAAUGAACUAUUUGUGGAAGAAUUAGAAGAUAAAGUUGAGGACAAAAAUACAGACAGAUGCAAAAAAAGCUAAAAGAAGAGAAGUUUAUAAGUUCAAUCCUUGAAGUCUAAAAGACAAACUACAGGAAUUCUAGAGAAAGAAUGGAGAGAACGAAACUUACAAAGGAAAAUUUCUAAAAAUCUUAAGAACAUGAUUCUUCAGGGUGAAAGUUCUCAAUAAGUGUGUAGAAAGCUGCUGCUGCUACUGCUGCCAAGUCAUUUCAGUCGUGUCUGACUCUGUGCGACCCCAGAGACGGCAGCUCACCAGGCUCCACCGUCCCUGGGAUUCUCCAGGCAAGAACACUGGAGUGGGUUGCCGUUUCCUUCUCCAAUGCAUGAAAGUGAAAAGUGAAAGUGAAGUCGCUCAGUCGUGUCCGACUCUUCUCGACCCCACGGACUGCAGCCUACCUGGCUCCUCCAUCCAUGGGAUUUUCCAGGCAAGAGGACUGGAAUGGGUUGCCAUUGCCUUCUCCUGUGUAGAAAGCUAGAGGACAAUAAAAUAAUGCCUUCACAGUUUUUUUAGGAAAAACUACAACUGAAAAUUCUAUAGGAAAUCAAACUAUCAUACCAAGUGUGAGAGGAGUAUAAAGAUGUUUUCAAAUAGACAAGGCAUCAAAAGUGCUAUUCCCUAUACACCAUUUCUCAUGAAGCUUCUGGAGAAUGUGCUCCAUGAAAAAAGGGAGAAAAUGAAGAAAGAUAUGACAGGAAACAGCAAAUCCAGGAGUACAAAUAAGCAGCUAGUCCAUAUGGGAGCAGGUCAGAAGGCUCCAUGUGGAACAACUUCAAGAAGCAACGAUGGAGCAAACAUUGUCUUACAGAUUUGACCUUCAUGAGAAAGAAGUUUCAGUGAUCCUUUCAAAAAGCAUGGUGAUGAGGACUUCCCUGAUGGUUCAGAGGUUAAGAAUUGAUCUUGCAAUACAGGGGAUGUGGGUACAAUCCCUGGUCAGGGAACUAAGAUGCCACAUGCUGCAGGGCAACUGAGCCCAAGUGCCAGUCACAACUACUGAGCCUGCGCACCGCAAUGAAAGAUGCUGCUUAACACAAGGAAGAUCUCGAGGGCCAGAACUAAGACCCAAUGCAGCCAAAUAAGUUAAAAAAUAUUUUUUAAGACUUAAAAAGCACGGUGAUAAAGUGAUGCAAGUACAGGGAAAAGGAAGCAUAAUAGUUCCCACUCUAUAUGCUAGGUUUGCACAGUCACCACACUGGCAAAAACUAAAGUCAAAUGGUACCAAGUGUUGGCAGGAAUGUGAAGCACUGGGAACUUGCGGAUAACAUUGGUAGAAGCACUUUGGCAAAUUAUGGGUAAUAUAAAGAUGAAGAUACACAUGCACUGUGACUCAGAAUGUUUACUCCCUGCAGCUUGAAACGUGUACAUGUGCACCAAGUGGUGUGUACAAGAAUGUCCCAGCAAUGAGACUUACUGCAAACUGGAAACAACCCAAAAGCACACUGUCAGUUUAGUUCAGUUCAGUUCAGUUGCUCAGUCGUGUCAGGCUCUUUGCAACCCCAUGAAUUGCAGCAUGCCAGGCCUCCCUGUGCAUCACCAUCUCCUGGAGUUCACUCAAACUCACGUCUAUCGAGUCGGUGAUGCCGUCCAGCCAUCUCAUCCUCUGUCGUCCCCUUCUCCUCCUGCCCCCACUCCCUCCCAGCAUCAGAGUCUUUUCCAAUGAGUCAUACUCAGCCAAUCAAGAUGGAUGUGAACAGUGCCAUGACUGAAUUUUAUUGGGUUGAGUAAAAGAAGCUAAACAGUAAAGAAUACACACUUUUCACUCCAUUUAUAUAAAAAUUUCAAAACAGAGCAAAUUAAACUGUGUUGUUUCACAAUGCAGACAUGGGUAGUAAAACAAUAAAGAAAAAGAAGGAAGUUGUAAUAAUAAAAGGUGGUAUAGUGUUACCCCUGGGGAGAGGUAGCUAGUUGUCACGAGGAAGGGAUACC
This is a long non-coding RNA of Bos taurus (domestic cattle), 2962 nucleotides long. Lineage: Eukaryota; Metazoa; Chordata; Mammalia; Artiodactyla; Bovidae. The record is from Ensembl.